RNAcentral lists this ribosomal RNA (471 nucleotides) under Triticum aestivum (bread wheat). Its description in RNAcentral is "partial small subunit ribosomal RNA". Lineage: Eukaryota; Viridiplantae; Streptophyta; Magnoliopsida; Poales; Poaceae. The record is from RNAcentral.
AUGGAGGGCCUUCAAAAAUCGGUGGAGGGGAUUUUGGCGAAAUUUGAUGUGAUGACGACCGAGGUGAAGGCGAUUGGGAAGGACGUCAGUGAUUUGCGCCAGCAGAUCAACGACUUCGGCGAGGAUUUGGACGGUGUCAAGCGCCACCUCGGCGAAUCGACCAAGUCUAUGCCGUCGCUCGCGGCGCAUGCCUCGGGACCUCCGCUCGUCAUCCCCAUCGCUAGCAAGACUCCGUUACUGGCCAACAGCGGCGGCGCUCCGCUACUGAAUACACCACAACAGUCGCGUGCAUAUGUCGCUGCACCGCCCUCACUACAACACCAGGAGAUGCCAGAGUAUGAUGGAUACAGUGGAUACACUGCUCGUCCUCCUCGCAUGGAUUUUCCUAAAUUUCAAGGGGAGGCACCACAGUUGUGGAUUGACAUGUGCUUGACAUAUUUUGAGCUCUAUAAGACACCAGCGCAUCAUUGA